UGGGAACUGUUGUUAUUAAAAUACAUUGAUUAAUGGCGCACAUAUGAACGCAUACAAAUCCAGCCACAAGCCUAUAUUUUGGCUUCUCAAUCCUUUUAUAUCAAAACAUAUGUCUACUUUCACUGAUAUUGAAAAACGGCAAAGACGAUAACCAGGCCAUCGAUGCGUCUGCAUUUGAUCAUGAAAACGAAAGUGUUAUCCUAAAAUAAACUUUUGACUGUUUUGAGUUUUGACAACACAUGUCAAGAAUUCAGCUACUUUUUCAUUUCACUGAAGUCAUUUCAAACCAGGCCACAGAACAACAGCAAUGGGCAUCACAACAAGGUGCAGUUGGUCAGGUGUCAGUGGAUUAUGUUAGAGACACCAGUCAUCACAUCAGUCACGACCUUCAGUAGCUGGUGUAGCCUCCAUCACCAGCAACAGCUGAAUAAGGUGUCGGCCUAGGUGUAACUGCUUCCCUUCCUGAUGACAUCAAGCUGAACAAUGUUUGGAACCAGAGUACUCUAUGUCGAGUUCUUCGUCCACGUAUGCAGAACAAGGUUACUGUGGCAGUCCAGUUCCUGUUAUUGCAAUGUUCUAAAUGCUUCCUGAGAAG
Long non-coding RNA from Haliotis rubra (blacklip abalone), 595 nucleotides. RefSeq lists it as uncharacterized. The transcript is spliced from 2 exons. The record is from RefSeq and is a predicted model, not a curated record. Lineage: Eukaryota; Metazoa; Mollusca; Gastropoda; Lepetellida; Haliotidae.